UACAGGGGGGGCAAGCGUUGUUCGGAAUUACUGGGCGUAAAGGGUUCGUAGGUGGCUUACUAAGUCAAAUGUGAAAUCCCUCAGCUUAACUGGGGAACUGCGUCUGAUACUGGAAAGCUUGAGUGCAGGAGAGGAACGCGGAAUUCCAGGUGUAGCGGUGAAAUGCGUAGAUAUCUGGAGGAACACCGGUGGCGAAGGCGGCGUUCUGGACUGCAACUGACACUGAGGAACGAAAGCCAGGGGAGCAAACGGG
This 253-nucleotide ribosomal RNA is filed under the name uncultured bacterium. Its description in RNAcentral is "partial 16S ribosomal RNA". It matches the Rfam family "Bacterial small subunit ribosomal RNA", at positions 524 to 776 of the family's 1533-position model. The record is from RNAcentral.